This 439-nucleotide ribosomal RNA is filed under the name uncultured bacterium. RNAcentral's name for it is "partial 16S ribosomal RNA". It matches the Rfam family "Bacterial small subunit ribosomal RNA", at positions 338 to 795 of the family's 1533-position model. The record is from RNAcentral.
CCUACGGGUGGCAGCAGUAGGGAAUAUUGCUCAAUGGGGGAAACCCUGAAGCAGCAGCGCCGCGUGGAGGAUGAAGGUUUUCGGAUUGUAAACUCCUUUUGUUAGAGAAGAUAAUGACGGUAUCUAACGAAUAAGCACCGGCUAACUCCGUGCCAGCAGCCGCGGUAAUACGGAGGGUGCAAGCGUUACUCGGAAUCAUUGGGCGUAAAGAGCGCGUAGGCGGGAUAGCAAGUCAGAUGUGAAAUCCUAUGGCUUAACCAUAGAACUGCAUUUGAAACUGUUAUUCUAGAGUAGGGGAGAGGUAGGUGGAAUUCUGGGGGUAGGGGUAAAAUCCGUAGAGAUCAAGAGGAAUACGAAUUGCGAGGCGACCUACUAGAGCAUAACUGACGCUGAUGCGCGAAAGCGUGGGGAGCGAACAGGAUUAGAUACCCCAGUAGUC